GAGUUUGAUCCUGGCUCAGGAUGAACGCUGGCGGCGUGCUUAACACAUGCAAGUCGAACGAGGAAUUUUAAAUGAGACUUCGGUGGAUUUUAAAAUUCUUAGUGGCGGACGGGUGAGUAACGCGUGGGCAACCUGCCCUGUACAGGGGGGACAACAGCUGGAAACGGCUGCUAAUACCGCAUAAGACCACGGAGCCGCAUGGCUCAGUGGGAAAAACUCCGGUGGUACAGGAUGGGCCCGCGUUGGAUUAGGUAGUUGGUGAGGUAACGGCCCACCAAGCCGACGAUCCAUAGCCGACCUGAGAGGGUGACCGGCCACGUUGGGACUGAGACACGGCCCAAACUCCUACGGGAGGCAGCAGUGGGGAAUCUUCCGCAAUGGGCGAAAGCCUGACGGAGCAACGCCGCGUGAGUGAAGAAUUAUUUCGGUAUGUAAAGCUCUAUCAGCAGGGAAGAAAAUGACGGUACCUGACUAAGAAGCCCCGGCUAACUACGUGCCAGCCGCCGCCGUAAC
RNAcentral lists this ribosomal RNA (513 nucleotides) under uncultured microorganism. RNAcentral's name for it is "bacterial SSU rRNA". It matches the Rfam family "Bacterial small subunit ribosomal RNA", at positions 9 to 524 of the family's 1533-position model. The record is from RNAcentral.